This 425-nucleotide ribosomal RNA is filed under the name uncultured bacterium. Its description in RNAcentral is "partial 16S ribosomal RNA". It matches the Rfam family "Bacterial small subunit ribosomal RNA", at positions 354 to 796 of the family's 1533-position model. The record is from RNAcentral.
GUGGGGAAUCUUGCGCAAUGGGCGAAAGCCUGACGCAGCCAUGCCGCGUGGAUGAUGAAGGUCUUAGGAUUGUAAAAUCCUUUCACCGGUGAAGAUAAUGACUGUAGCCGGAGAAGAAGCCCCGGCUAACUUCGUGCCAGCAGCCGCGGUAAUACGAAGGGGGCUAGCGUUGCUCGGAUUUACUGGGCGUAAAGGGCGCGUAGGCGGACAUUUAAGUCAGGGGUGAAAUCCCGGGGCUCAAACUCGGAACUGCCUUGUAUACUGGGUGUCUUGAGUAUGAGAGAGGUGUGUGGAACUCCGAGUGUAGAGGUGAAAUUCGUAGAUAUUCGGAAGAACACCAGUGGCGAAGGCGACACACUGGCUCAUUACUGACGCUGAGGCGCGAAAGCGUGGGGAGCAAACAGGAUUAGAUACCCCUGUAGUCC